This 485-nucleotide ribosomal RNA is filed under the name uncultured bacterium. RNAcentral describes it as "partial 16S ribosomal RNA". It matches the Rfam family "Bacterial small subunit ribosomal RNA", at positions 28 to 523 of the family's 1533-position model. The record is from RNAcentral.
GACGAACGCUGGCGGCGUGCUUAACACAUGCAAGUCGAACGGUGAAAGCGGAGCUUGCUCCGCUGGAUCAGUGGCGAACAGGUGAGUAACACGUGGGCAACCUGCCCCUCACUUCGGGAUAACUCCGGGAAACCGGGGCUAAUACCGGAUAUGACCUCCUUGGGCAUCCUUGGAGGUGGAAAGUUUUUCGGUGAGGGAUGGGCCCGCGGCCUAUCAGCUUGUUGGUGAGGUAGUGGCUCACCAAGGCGACGACGGGUAGCCGGCCUGAGAGGGCGACCGGCCACACUGGGACUGCGACACGGCCCAGACUCCUACGGGAGGCAGCAGUGGGGAAUAUUGCGCAAUGGGCGAAAGCCUGACGCAGCAACGCCGCGUGCGGGAUGACGGCCUUCGGGUUGUAAACCGCUUUCAGCAGGGAAGAAGCCGCAAGGUGACGGUACCUGCAGAAGAAGCACCGGCUAACUACGUGCCAGCCGCCGCGGUAA